Long non-coding RNA from Humulus lupulus (European hop), 454 nucleotides. RefSeq lists it as uncharacterized. The transcript has 4 exons. The record is from RefSeq and is a predicted model, not a curated record. NCBI's taxonomy places the organism in Eukaryota, Viridiplantae, Streptophyta, Magnoliopsida, Rosales, Cannabaceae.
AGACAUUGAAAGUGCAUAUUAAUGGUUACAAUUGGAAGACAUUAAAAAUAGUGGAAGACGUUGGAAAUAGGCUGGUAGUGAUUUAUGGGUACAUCCAACGUCUCCCACUGGGAGACGUGCCACGUGUCCCACGUCUCCCAGUGGGAGACGUUGGAUGUCUCCACUUAUAAAUCACUACCAGCCUUCUUCUUCCUCACACGAACCCGAGAGCAAACCAGAGAGAAGAAUUGGGCGAUUUGGGGCUGCGUUUUUAGGGUUCUAAGGUUGUGAUUUUUGUGGUGAGAUUUUAGAGAGUAUUUUGCAUCAAAAUUCCAAUAUCAAUCACACAUUUGAGCGAAUUUGAUUACUAAGUGAAGUAACUUUGCUAGCUUUUGGAUUAAAGAUUGCAAGAGAAGAAUAUAUGGAUAAACAGUGGAUGUCAGCAAAUAGGUUAUCUGCGGAAUUUAGGAACGGG